CAGCACUUUGGGAGGCCGAGGCAGGUGGAUCACCUGAGGUCAAGAGUUCGAGAUCAGACUGGCCAACAUGGUGAAACCCCAUCUCUACUAAAAAUACAAAAAAAUUAGCUGGGUAUGGUGGCAUGCACCUGUAACCCCAGCUACUCUGGAGGGUGAGGCAGAAGAAUCGCUUGAACCCGGGAGGUGGAGGUUGCAGUGAGCGGACAUCGUGCCACUGCACUCCAGCCUGGGUGACAGAGGGAGACUCCAUCUCAAAAAAAAAAAAAAAAAAAGAUUCAAAAGCCUAAGCCCAUACCCACUAAAAAGAAAAAGCCCGGCCAGGCACGGUGGCU
This 332-nucleotide long non-coding RNA is filed under the name Homo sapiens (human). RNAcentral's name for it is "non-protein coding lnc-ERAL1-3:7". Lineage: Eukaryota; Metazoa; Chordata; Mammalia; Primates; Hominidae. The record is from RNAcentral.